Molecule: long non-coding RNA, 265 nt
Organism: Haliotis rubra (blacklip abalone)
Lineage: Eukaryota; Metazoa; Mollusca; Gastropoda; Lepetellida; Haliotidae
Exons: 3
Source: RefSeq, a predicted model, not a curated record
GACGGUAUCACUGUUGACCUCACUCCACCAUCUGAAAGCUCGAUCACCAUCCAAGGGCUAAUAGAAAACGUAUAUCAAAUCAGCACAUCUGAGGUGGUUCUUGACUGGUCUGGUUUUGUUGAUGUGGAGACGGAAGGAUUGACUUCACAUGCGAGCGCCAUCACCUUCUAUCAAGUUGCCUUAGGGACUAUGCCAGAAGGGGAAGACAUCAUAGCGUUCUCAAGCGUUGGACACGUCCACCACACCACGCUGUCAGGUCUUCAAC